GGUCUUGAAUGUUUUGGACAUGGAUGCCAGGUCACCUUUGGUCAGUCCUAGCAACAUAAUGCACAUCUACCUUGCAAGUAUCAAAGCAUACUACUUAUAUAUUACUUUACUCAAAAUUUUGUAAAUAAUUAAUAGGUUAUUGUAUUUUCAUCUAAUUCCUACCAUAUGUAUAAACACAAGGAUGCGCAUACACAUGCACACAUAUGUACGU
Molecule: long non-coding RNA, 211 nt
Filed under: Elaeis guineensis (African oil palm)
Lineage: Eukaryota; Viridiplantae; Streptophyta; Magnoliopsida; Arecales; Arecaceae
Description: long non-coding RNA (EGUI_LNC076816)
Source: RNAcentral